CAUAUGCAAUUACUAUAAGCUCUAAUUGUGACUAAGGUUUUCAGUGCAGGUGUACUUUAGUUAGUUGCUCUCGGUCAAAGGUGUUUGCGGUUCAGAGCGUUUGUUUGUUCCCCGUGUCGAAACACAUCAGACCUGCAACAUAUGGAAGGAACAAGGCAUCACUCACAAUCCAAAUUUGGGGGAUACAGAGGUUGAUUUUGAAGCACGCUGGAAAAGAUAAAGGAAGAAUUUUUCUACUAUGAAAUUACUGUAAUACGGAGCAGCUUUCACCUUCAUAUUAAAGCACACAUGGUUCCGUUUCGCUUUUGAGCAUCCAUCAGCCAUCUAACGAUCAUUGAAAAAGAAACACAUUUGCGAUGUUGAUUUGGGAAACAUUUUCCACCAGCCAUAGAAGUGAUAACAGCAUGCUAUUGAAUGCAAGACGUCAUUGAAGGGAAGUACAAGGAGCCAUUGUAUUACGUUCAUUAGCGCCACGAUACAAAUGAGACGAAAAACUUACUUUGAUACAAAUGCGCUAUAUAAAAUUAAUUAUAUAAAAUUAUUAUUUUUUGUUUGGUUUUGUUUUUUGUUUUUGAUACGCUUGUGUAUGUAUAAAAAGAGGAAAACAUCUCCUUGCCGAACAGGAGCCUAUAUUUUGGCCCCAGCUAUAGCUGUGAUUAAUAUUCCUCAGGUUCACACCAAAAAGCAAACCUGCAUCAGCCACUAGAGUAAAACAAUGCAAUGAAUAGAAAAAGAAGGAAUAAUUGAAUUGAAAUACAAUCAUGGAAUAAUGACGUUCUUUAAAAAAAAACGGGAAUUAAAACACUUCAGGAUCAAUCCUGCUAAAACCAACUGUAUCAUGUUCUAAUAACAUCUAAAGUUUAAGGAAAUUAGACGAGCUGAAUAUCUUUAAUAUACCAUUUGAGUUCAUAAAUUGUGAAAUCAAGGUAUAUGUACUAUGAUGCAAUAGCAAAUAGAUAUACAUUAUCAGACAAACCAAGGUUAAUAGAUAUAUAGAAAAAAGACGCAGUUAUCUAUUAGAUAGUUGAUUGUAUAGAUAAAAAGAAGAUUAAACGUCAAGUUUUAAGUUACAAAAUUGUUUGUGUUGUUCAGGCAGGUUUUGCCCGCCUUGUCACCUGCUGUCACUUAAGUGAUGACGACUGCCUUUUGAAGACAAGGUCCAUUAUGGCCUUCGACCAGCGCUGGCCACAAGUAAGUCUUGAUGGAAUUAUCAUUGGGGUCGGAAGUGUGGAAGCGGAUGUGAUAGUCGGCAUUGAAACUUCUGGCCUCGUAGUCGAGCACGUAUGGAGGUGACUAUUAAUUCCAGGAAACAAACAAAAUUGAUUGAAAACAUUUGCGGCUUAAGUAAAUAUCUCAAUAUCCUACCUGAUUGACAAGAGACCAAGCCAAUCGCACCGAGUCCUUGAUGUAUUUCACCAGCGGGUCACAUGAACGAAGGCAAGGAUAAUCGUACAACGUAGCCCAAAUCUGAUUGCAAACAUCCUGGAAAUCAAAUUGAGAUCAUUAAUAUCUUAUGGCAAGGUCAUAAAAAAAAAUUUCUUUCAUGGCCUUUGAACAAACCUCUGUGUUUUUAGUUAAAUCGAACGUUGCUACCGACUCUCUAAGAUAGUGAGCAACAGCUUGUUCCACCUCGUAGCCAGCAUUACGUUCCUUACGCAACGGUUUGGCCGGUUUAGCGGGUUUGGCGGGGGGCGUGAUUUGGCGCUUAGUGUUGGACGGAGCAGCCAAUGCGGAUGGCGGUGGCGGAGGAGGAGGUGGCAGAUAUACUGCGUUGUUAUUGUUCACGGGCUGAUGCAUCGAGCCAGGUGGAAUCUGUAAGAUUCUCUUGAUAUGAUCCUUCAUUUGGGUAGAAGUCGCUUGCAAUGAGCGGAAGGCCAACUAAUCAAACCCAAACGUAAUUUCGAUUUAGAGAUAACAUAAAAUGUAAAACCAAUUAACACGCUUUUUUUUUUACCACAAUGACGGAGAAAAGCAGCUUGGAUUUCAGUUCAUCAGCACCACGAAGCUCUUCCAGUUUGUCGAGGUAGUCGAGCGUUUCGACGCGCGACUGCGUGUACAACCCGCCGUAGUUUUGAAUCAAAUCGGAUCGCUGUUCGGACGAAAUCGAUUCAAAUUUGCUAGGUCCCACACCUCGUUCGACCAUCUUCUGAGCUUGAAGAGCCAUCCUGCUUCCGUGAUUAUCGACAAUACGGGUUUAAAUGAUCGAUUGAACAUGAAUAAUUUUCAGUUUCAUUAUUACCUGGCUUUCAUUUUCUUCUCGCGUUCCUGCAAUGCGCAUAUCGUGGCAUUGGCUUUAUUCAUUUCAGCUUUAAUGGAUUCCAAUUCGGCCUGGAGUGCUGGAUCAACGCCGUGACUGCCGACAAUCGUAUUAUUCAAAUUUUGAACUUGGCAUCGCUGACACGGAGGAGUGUUAUUGGCUAGACGGCCGGCGUCAUUGGCGAGAGCCUGUCGGGAGUCAGGCGAUCCGGUUCCAGAAGAGAUGCCACUAGAACGGUAGUCACUCUCACGUUCGCUGCUGGGCGAAUUGGAGCCCGUCGACGAUGACAUUGAAGCAUUUUUGGCCUUAGCCAACAACAUUCGUCGGCCGUUUCUAGAUUGGCCUUGGCCCUGACCGCUCUGCUCUUUGAUCUCACCUGCCUCGAGUCCCAGCGAAUUGACGAGCAAUGACGCCCGGAUGCUCGCACGGCUUCCCAGCCGAACUAUGAAAACGAAAGAAAGAAAAACAUCACAUCAAUUAUCUAUCAUACAUGGAAAAAACAAAAAUGGGCUUCACUUAUUUCAUAAUUUUAUGCGACCGAAAAUAGUUUUUUCUCAGGACCCCAACAAAGACAGACAACGAGGUAUGCUCUUUCCCAAAGUUAUGCAUGCUUUACCAUUAACAUGCAAAAGUUACUACGGUAAACAGCUAUUAGCAAUCCGAGAACAAGGCAGCGAAACAACAUGAUGGAAUGGGAACCACUGUUUUUGGAUACACACAUGUGUAGCAGUUACAUUAAGGAUUCGACCUUUUGUUACUCUUCGAUCCGGAUGUACCAUGUUACGCCAAAUAAUUGCAGUUAGUUAAAGUUUUUUUUUUUCUUUUUCUGAACAGUUGUGUCAAUAAUCUCGUAACGGCUCUAGUUCGAUAUUUCGUAGAAAACAAAAAAUGGAAAGAGUAUUUAACUCAAGCUUACAAGCCAUUAAGUAAACAGAAGGACAUGGAGCGGACUCCAGUUUUAAGAUUUCACAAGAGAAAAAGAAAUAUAAAAGAACAAAUUCCAGAAUAAGAAAGGGUGAUGGCCGCGAGGGUCGUUCGGUCGAAGGCAAAUAGCCUCGUCACUAGGUCAGUUAGAAAGAGCUAAAGCUAAAAAGUCGGGAGUAACAUUCUAGUAGGUCAUCCUUUCCAGUCGUUUUUUUUUCUUCUUUUCAUUGAAAGAAUUUUUAUUUGUGUUGGACUAUUUAUGUAGACGUCUUCAAGUCUACAUACGUUUCUUUCUAUCCUGCAUGUCAGCACGAUCGCAAUCGAACCGUAAAAAAAGGCUGAAAAAGGGAAUUAGGCGACGUUAGACUUGUCACGCAGCAGCAAUGGGAUGAUGUAAAAAUUUGAAUUCCGCUAGCGGAAUUCAUUGUACGCUGCAUUUGGCCAUACGCGUCGUUGCUAGUUAUCUUGACUCUGUUUAUUGUAUUAGAUAACACUCCAUUAUCUCGCUGACCAAUGUCAAAGAAAGAACAUGAGGUGCUCACGUGAAUGGAUUUAAAUUCAGCCCGACUGAACCGCCCCUCUGUUUCUGCUUUAAUGCCCACAUUUCAUUUUUGCUGAGCACAUUUUUAUGUUUGAGAAAUAACCACGUAAAAUAUGGCACAUACGUUGUUGCGAAAGGGAAAAAAAAAGGUGUUUGAAAAUAAAAUAUGGCGAUUAAACGAUUUUGAACGUCGAUGAAAUUCGGGUCCCGUCAUGAAUACGAAGGACGUGCGCCCAUGUAAUAGCUUUACACAGUGAACAAAGAAAAAGAAAAUCAUUGCGAGGAAUCGACUGUAAAUUCUCAAUAGCAUUUUUUUGAUGUGUUCUUCCUGUCUGCGGAAGACCGCAAAAUUGUUCCCAGUUUUUUUUUUUCCCCGCCGUUUGUUUUGUUAUUUUCUUUUUUGUCGCUUGAACAUUCCAUUUACAAUCUUUUGAAAAUACGACCUAAAUUACCUCUGGCCACACUAUUAUUUGUGUAUCGUUGUCAUUUCUCCUUUUAAAAUUUCACCCAAAAAGGGAAAUAGAACAACACCCAAUCACGA
Daphnia magna is the source of this 4263-nucleotide long non-coding RNA. RefSeq lists it as uncharacterized. The transcript is spliced from 2 exons. NCBI's taxonomy places the organism in Eukaryota, Metazoa, Arthropoda, Branchiopoda, Diplostraca, Daphniidae. The record is from RefSeq and is a predicted model, not a curated record.